This 253-nucleotide ribosomal RNA is filed under the name uncultured bacterium. RNAcentral's name for it is "partial 16S ribosomal RNA". It matches the Rfam family "Bacterial small subunit ribosomal RNA", at positions 524 to 776 of the family's 1533-position model. The record is from RNAcentral.
UACGAAGGGGGCUAGCGUUGCUCGGAAUCACUGGGCGUAAAGGGUGCGUAGGCGGGUCUUUAAGUCAGGGGUGAAAUCCCGGAGCUCAACUCCAGAACUGCCUUUGAUACUGAGGAUCUUGAGUUCGGGAGAGGUGAGUGGAACUGCGAGUGUAGAGGUGAAAUUCGUAGAUAUUCGCAAGAGCACCAGUGGCGAAGGCGGCUCACUGGCCCGAUACUGACGCUGAGGCACGAAAGCGUGGGGAGCAAACAGG